Molecule: long non-coding RNA, 1434 nt
Filed under: Canis lupus familiaris (dog)
Lineage: Eukaryota; Metazoa; Chordata; Mammalia; Carnivora; Canidae
Description: lncRNA (ENSCAFG00000055356.1)
Source: RNAcentral
AGUUGGAGAUUAGAGGCUGAGGCCGUUGCUGGCAUUCCAUCGGAAUACAUGGGGCAAGCUGAUCUGGUCAAGAUGUGUCAUGUGGAUCACAGGAGCUAGAAGAGCAGGAUAACGAGAUCAGCAUAACAACAGCGACGUCCGGGUGUCCGUGGCCACACUUCGAGCAGCUUGUACACCUAUUGUACACCUAUUGCACAAAAGGGUCCAGGGGCUGGAGAUCCAGCAGAGGGAAAUGAAGUACAGUGGGUGAGUCGAGGUCAUCAUACAAGGAAGUCUUCCUGGUGAAGUGAGAUUUGUGGCGAGAGCUGAUGCUCAUCACAGAGAUCGGAAGCGGCCAUCCACGUGGACACAAGGUUGUCCUCCUUGUCCCAGGGGGAGGCAGGAAGAUCGACUUCGCAUCAGUCCAAAUUCACGCUGUAACUUUUCUUCUCUGGAAGAGGACCACAGUGUUCCAUCUAGUCAACCCUGGCCUGAAAGAGAAUGGAGAACAUGUAGCAACUUGACGUCCUACCAGCGUGACAGUAGUAUUACUAAGGGGCUUGUUGGGGACCCAAGCGCUCUAUGGCUACCUCUAGUGCUUGGGUCUGCGCUCCUGAUAGGAUAAACCCAGCCAUCUGAAUCCUCCUAUCGAGGGGCCUGGGGCAAGGCUGUGCCUGGCUCAAGAGUCUCUUGUAGAGAGGAGUCUCCAUGGUGUUGAGCACUCCAGCUCUGGGGCAAGUAAUCCUUGAGUGGCCACAGCAGCUAGCACUGGACUGGGACAGCAUAACCUCGAGGAUUGCUAGGAGAUCUACCCUUUGAGGAAAAUCUCAGGUUGCUUCCGUGACUGGGUGAUGGUUCAGGGACGGGCGCUGGCGGAGAAGCAGCAGGCAGCCUCAAGUCUCCUGAAGCUACUUGUGGAUCAGGAAGGGGGGUUCGGACAUUGUAGCUCCCCAUGUCCAUUAGGACGGUGCUAGCUGUAUACAACCAAUACUCAUCCACCUUCUUCCCGGCCCCACGUGUCUCAGGCAGCAUGCCACCCUUCUGUGAUCCCUUUUUCCCUUCUAGGCCGCUCUCAGUGUUCAUUUAGCACUUAAUUUCACCUGUGCCAACUAGUGAAGCCAGAAGGAAUUGGAAAAGCCUGAUGCUAUUGUGCCUCCUCCACCGUGUGUGUACUGCUCCCAAUUAAGGGGGGGCUUGAAGCAGGGAGGCCAUGCACUCUGUCACCAUCCAUUAUUCACACAGCCUCCAUCUUGGCUUCCUUUCUCCUUUUUUCCUCCCAUUCCAUUCCUCUUACACACUACUUCCACCCGGGCUGUCUGCUUCUCCUUGUUUCUCCCUCUUCCCUGCUGUCUGCCAACACCUCUACUACGGUGUUACUUGAGCCAAUGCAAACCCUGAUGUCCCAGAAGCCAAGCAGGUAACAUCGAUGAGGUCUGCGUGGUCUGAAUGGAUCAG